This 224-nucleotide long non-coding RNA is filed under the name Elaeis guineensis (African oil palm). RNAcentral describes it as "long non-coding RNA (EGUI_LNC006547)". The record is from RNAcentral. Lineage: Eukaryota; Viridiplantae; Streptophyta; Magnoliopsida; Arecales; Arecaceae.
UGAUGGCGGUGAGGGUAAUGUCAUCGAGGUCAUCGGGUGGCAUACAUCCUCAUGAACUAAAGUGGGUGCACUAUAAGUGCAUCAGUGGCUCUCGCCUAUGAACUCACUUCUACUGAAAUGAAUGAGGACAAGUUGGGCAGAGCAGGUGUCCCAGAAGUAGACGCAUGCCACGAGGUGCAAUCAACACCUUGGUCGGCCUAAUGUGCAUGGGUCGAAGGGUGACC